Oreochromis aureus is the source of this 528-nucleotide long non-coding RNA. NCBI's taxonomy places the organism in Eukaryota, Metazoa, Chordata, Actinopteri, Cichliformes, Cichlidae. The record is from Ensembl.
UGCACUGGUCCCUCUCCCGUUGUGUGAGCGGAGGCUAGCCCAGCAUCACCGCCUUCUUCUUUCUAUCCUUUCUGAAUGUGUUAUUCCUGUCUUGUUUUUUGUUGUUGCUUGUUUGUUUAGUUCUUUUUCCAGCUCAUCACAAACUCCGCAGACGAGGCACCCUCUCUCUGUUUUUAACAGUAAUUUUCUUCGAACACAAAGCGUUUGGCUAGACGCUUAAAGCUGUCGCGUUGCUUCAGCAGGGAGAGAAAAACAUCCAUCCCCGACGUCUCGAGGAGGCAGGGUGCGAACACAGCAACGCCCAUUUUGACACAAGCGGUAUCGCUGCUGUCUUCACGAAGGCCGUGUUUCUAUUUUUUCCCCUCUUUUUCGCAUCUUCGAGUAGUGGCAACAGGGUCCGGGGCUGCCGAAGAGCUCCAUGCCCCUUUGCAUGCAGCGCACCGAGACUGCAUUUUGCAGACUGCAUCUGUGGCCUUAACCUUGUAGAUUCCUCCUCUGGUUGUCCUUGACGCCUCCGGCAUUCCCCCC